GUGAGUGGCCAUAUCACCCUGCAGCCCAAGACUGGUUGCCCACUUAAGCUAAGCAGGGUUGAGCCUGGUCAGUAGGCCUAGUACCUGGAUGGGAGACCUCCUGGGAAAACUAGGUUGCUGUUGGAA
Molecule: ribosomal RNA, 126 nt
Filed under: Sinocyclocheilus anshuiensis
Lineage: Eukaryota; Metazoa; Chordata; Actinopteri; Cypriniformes; Cyprinidae
Source: RNAcentral